Molecule: ribosomal RNA, 1244 nt
Filed under: metagenome
Description: bacterial SSU rRNA
Rfam family: Bacterial small subunit ribosomal RNA
Source: RNAcentral
UAGCUAGUUGGUGAGGUAACGGCCCACCAAGGCGACGAUCCAUAGCCGACCUGAGAGGGUGACCGGCCACAUUGGGACUGAGACACGGCCCAAACUCCUACGGGAGGCAGCAGUGGGGAACAUUGCACAAUGGGGGAAACCCUGAUGCAGCGACGCCGCGUGGAGGAAGAAGGUCUUCGGAUUGUAAACUCCUGUUGUUGAGGAAGAUAAUGACGGUACUCAACAAGGAAGUGACGGCUAACUACGUGCCAGCAGCCGCGGUAAAACGUAGGUCACAAGCGUUGUCCGGAAUUACUGGGUGUAAAGGGAGCGCAGGCGGGAAGGCAAGUUGGAAGUGAAAUCUAUGGGCUCAACCCAUAAACUGCUUUCAAAACUGUUUUUCUUGAGUAGUGCAGAGGUAGGUGGAAUUCCCGGUGUAGCGGUGGAAUGCGUAGAUAUCGGGAGGAACACCAGUGGCGAAGGCGGCCUACUGGGCACCAACUGACGCUGAGGCUCGAAAGUGUGGGUAGCAAACAGGAUUAGAUACCCUGGUAGUCCACACCGUAAACGAUGAUUACUAGGUGUUGGAGGAUUGACCCCUUCAGUGCCGCAGUUAACACAAUAAGUAAUCCACCUGGGGAGUACGACCGCAAGGUUGAAACUCAAAGGAAUUGACGGGGGCCCGCACAAGCAGUGGAGUAUGUGGUUUAAUUCGACGCAACGCGAAGAACCUUACCAAGUCUUGACAUCCCUUGACGAACAUAGAAAUAUGUUUUCUCUUCGGAGCAAGGAGACAGGUGGUGCAUGGUUGUCGUCAGCUCGUGUCGUGAGGUGUUGGGUUAAGUCCCGCAACGAGCGCAACCCUUAUGGUCAGUUACUACGCAAGAGGACUCUGGCCAGACUGCCGUUGACAAAACGGAGGAAGGUGGGGAUGACGUCAAAUCAUCAUGCCCUUUAUGACUUGGGCUACACACGUACUACAAUGGCGUUAAACAAAGAGAAGCAAGACCGCGAGGUGGAGCAAAACUCAGAAACAACGUCCCAGUUCGGACUGCAGGCUGCAACUCGCCUGCACGAAGUCGGAAUUGCUAGUAAUCGCAGAUCAGCAUGCUGCGGUGAAUACGUUCCCGGGCCUUGUACACACCGCCCGUCACACCAUGAGAGCCGGGGGGACCCGAAGUCGGUAGUCUAACCGCAAGGAGGACGCCGCCGAAGGUAAAACUGGUGAUUGGGGUGAAGUCGUAACAAGGUAGCCGUACUAGUAC